Molecule: ribosomal RNA, 358 nt
Filed under: Prymnesium parvum
Lineage: Eukaryota; Haptophyta; Prymnesiales; Prymnesiaceae
Description: partial Bacterial large subunit ribosomal RNA
Rfam family: Bacterial large subunit ribosomal RNA
Source: RNAcentral
UGGCACCUUGAUGUCGGCUCAUCACAUCCUGGGGCUGUAGCCGGUCCCAAGGGUUUGGCUGUUCGCCAAUUAAAGUGGUACGUGAGCUGGGUUUAGAACGUCGUGAGACAGUUCGGUCCCUAUCUGCCGUGGGUGUAGGAUACUUGAGAGGAGUUGCCCCUAGUACGAGAGGACCGGGGUGAACGAUCCACUGGUGGACCAGUUGUUAUGCCAAUAGCAGUGCUGGGUAGCUAUGAUCGGACAGGAUAACCGCUGAAGGCAUCUAAGCGGGAAGCCCCCCUCAAAACAAGGUAUCCCUGAGAGCCGAGAUAGACCAUCUCGUCGAUAGGCCAGAGAUGUAAGCGUGGUAACACGCUCA